Long non-coding RNA from Hordeum vulgare subsp. vulgare (domesticated barley), 177 nucleotides. RefSeq lists it as uncharacterized. NCBI's taxonomy places the organism in Eukaryota, Viridiplantae, Streptophyta, Magnoliopsida, Poales, Poaceae. The record is from RefSeq and is a predicted model, not a curated record. The transcript has 3 exons.
UCAUAGCCUAACAAGUUCAUACUGACAUGAACAAGUGACAAAGAUAGCAUGUUCCACUCAACAUGAGAUCAUCAUGGGACAUUAUAAUUUAUAAUUCAAAACGGUGCCUGUUUAAGGAGAAUCUCCCGUGAAUCAGGGCGCCUUAACGUUCCUCUUGAUGAGUGAUGUUGAUGCCGA